This 485-nucleotide ribosomal RNA is filed under the name uncultured Entrophospora. RNAcentral describes it as "SSU rRNA". It matches the Rfam family "Eukaryotic small subunit ribosomal RNA", at positions 569 to 1057 of the family's 1831-position model. Lineage: Eukaryota; Fungi; Glomeromycota; Glomeromycetes; Entrophosporales; Entrophosporaceae. The record is from RNAcentral.
AGCAGCCGCGGUAAUUCCAGCUCCAAUAGCGUAUAUUAAAGUUGUUGCAGUUAAAAAGCUCGUAGUUGAAUUUCGGGGUCAGUAGAUUGGUCGUGCCACUGGUAUGCACUGGUCUUACUGGCUCCUCCUUCCUGAUGAACCGUAAUGCCAUUAAUUUGGUGUUGCGGGGAGACUGGACUGUUACUUUGAAAAAUUAGAGUGUUUAAAGCAGGCUAACGCUUGAAUACAUUAGCAUGGAAUAAUGAAAUAGGACGUUCGAUCUUAUUUUGUUGGUUUCUAAGAUUGACGUAAUGAUUAAUAGGGAUAGUUGGGGGCAUUAGUACUCAAUUGUCAGAGGUGAAAUUCUUGGAUUUAUUGAAGACUAACUACUGCGAAAGCAUUUGCCAAGGAUGUUUUACAUUAAUCAAGAACGAAAGUUAGGGGAUCGAAGACGAUCAGAUACCGUCGUAGUCUUAACCAUAAACUAAUGCCGACUAGGGAUCGGA